Molecule: long non-coding RNA, 312 nt
Filed under: Lathyrus oleraceus (garden pea)
Lineage: Eukaryota; Viridiplantae; Streptophyta; Magnoliopsida; Fabales; Fabaceae
Description: Pisum sativum (pea) long non-coding RNA (PSAT_LNC018310)
Source: RNAcentral
CCUUAGUAGAAGCCCAAUGGACAUGAGAGGGCUCCCAACGAUACUUCUCUAGUACCAGGUGACUCUCGAAAUCAUUUAGUAUAUCCUGUAGAUCUUUGCGACGAUACUCUUGAUUGAUGAGAAGGAGAUGUUUCGAUGUUAUAAGAUGAUGGAAAUAAGGAGAAAGAGCUUCACUCAUGCUUCAAUGCAAUAGUUGGGAGAUGGGGAGCUCAAAUGUGUUUUUUUGAGAAUUUUUUUAGAAAAUAAAGAAGAAGGAGGAAGAGGGAAGGGUUCUGGGACGGGUUAAUGAAAGAAAGAGUUCGAAGAUGCAUA